GCCAGCAUUUGCGGUAAUUCCAGCUCCAAUAGCGUAUAUGUAAAUUGUUGCGGUUGAAAAGCUCGUAGUUGGACUUCUGGAGGCCGAGAUCGGUCCGCCAAGCGCGAGCACUGGUCUCGGUCUUCGUCUCUGUCGACGUGGCUCGCCGGACUUAAUUGGCCGGCUUGCUAUCUGUCGGCGAUGUUACUUUGAGGAAAUCAGAGUGCUCAAGGCAAGCGUUCGCUCGUGACUUCACUAGCAUGGAAUAACACAGAUGGGCUCUUUCUCGCACUGUUGGUCUGCGUCAAUUGAGCAACGAUCGAUAGAGACGGUCGGGGGCAUUCGUAUUGCGCAGUUAGAGGUGAAAUUCUCCGAUCUGCGCAAGACGCACUAAUGCGAAAGCAGUUGCCAAGGACGUCCUCUUAUGAUCAAGAGCGAAAGUCGGGGGAUCAAAGAUGAUUAGAUACCGUCGUAGUCCCGACCAUAAAUGAUGCCGACUGAGCUUCGGCGACUCGGCCCUGGGCCGGACGUCGGCGCUCUUAGAGAAAUUAAAGUCUUUGGGCUCCGGGGGUAGUAUGGUCGCAAGGCUGA
RNAcentral lists this ribosomal RNA (570 nucleotides) under Rhipiliopsis sp. LL6. Its description in RNAcentral is "bacterial SSU rRNA". It matches the Rfam family "Eukaryotic small subunit ribosomal RNA", at positions 566 to 1140 of the family's 1831-position model. Lineage: Eukaryota; Viridiplantae; Chlorophyta; Ulvophyceae; Bryopsidales; Halimedaceae. The record is from RNAcentral.